GAUGAACGCUGGCGGCGUGCUUAACACAUGCAAGUCGAACGAUGAAGCCCAGCUUGCUGGGUGGAUUAGUGGCGAACGGGUGAGUAACACGUGAGUAACCUGCCCUUGACUCUGGGAUAAGCCCGGGAAACUGGGUCUAAUACCGGAUAGGAGCGCCUGUCGCAUGACGGGUGUUGGAAAGAUUUUUCGGUCAUAGAUGGACUCGCGGCCUAUCAGCUUGUUGGUGAGGUAAUGGCUCACCAAGGCGACGACGGGUAGCCGGCCUGAGAGGGUGACCGGCCACACUGGGACUGAGACACGGCCCAGACUCCUACGGGAGGCAGCAGUGGGGAAUAUUGCACAAUGGGCGGAAGCCUGAUGCAGCGACGCCGCGUGAGGGAUGACGGCCUUCGGGUUGUAAACCUCUUUCAGUAGGGAAGAAGCGAAAGUGACGGUACCUGCAGAAGAAGCACCGGCUAACUACGUG
Molecule: ribosomal RNA, 466 nt
Filed under: uncultured bacterium
Lineage: Bacteria
Description: partial 16S ribosomal RNA
Rfam family: Bacterial small subunit ribosomal RNA
Source: RNAcentral